UUUUUGAAUUUAAUUUAAAGUCUAGCCUGCCCACUGAAAAUUUUAAAUGGCCGCAGUAUUCUAACUGUGCAAAGGUAGCAUAAUCAUUAGUCUUUUAAUUAAAGGCUGGAAUGAAUGGUUGGAUGAAAUAUUAACUGUUUCAUAUAAAUUUAUGAUAGAAUUUUAUUUUUUAGUUAAAAAGCUAAAAUUUAAUUAAAAGACGAGAAGACCCUAUAAAUCUUUAUAUUUUAAUGAUUUUAAUUAUAUAGAUAAAUUUAAUUAUAAUUUUAUAAAAUAUUUUAUUGGGGUGAUAUUAAAAUUUAAUAAACUUUUAAUUUAUAAUUAACAUAAAUUAAUGAAUUAUUGAUCCAUUAUUAAUGAUUAAAAAAUUAAGUUACUUUAGGGAUAACAGCGUAAUUUUUUUAGAGAGUUCAUAUUGAUAAAAA
RNAcentral lists this ribosomal RNA (425 nucleotides) under Megaselia spinigera. RNAcentral's name for it is "partial 16S ribosomal RNA". The record is from RNAcentral. Lineage: Eukaryota; Metazoa; Arthropoda; Insecta; Diptera; Phoridae.